AGUGAACGCUGGCGGUAGGCCUAACACAUGCAAGUCGAACGGCAGCACAGUAAGAGCUUGCUCUUACGGGUGGCGAGUGGCGGACGGGUGAGGAAUACAUCGGAAUCUACUUUUUCGUGGGGGAUAACGUAGGGAAACUUACGCUAAUACCGCAUACGACCUACGGGUGAAAGCAGUGGAUCUUCGGACCUUGCGCGUUUGAAUGAGCCGAUGUCGGAUUAGCUAGUUGGCGGGGUAAAGGCCCACCAAGGCGACGAUCCGUAGCUGGUCUGAGAGGAUGAACAGCCACACUGGAACUGAGACACGGUCCAGACUCCUACGGGAGGCAGCAGUGGGGAAUAUUGGACAAUGGGCGCAAGCCUGAUCCAGCCAUACCGCGUGGGUGAAGAAGGCCUUCGGGUUGUAAAGCCCUUUUGUUGGGAAAGAAAAGCAGCAGGUUAAUACCCCGCUGUUCUGACGGUACCCAAAGAAUAAGCACCGGCUAACUUCGUG
This 492-nucleotide ribosomal RNA is filed under the name uncultured bacterium. RNAcentral's name for it is "partial 16S ribosomal RNA". It matches the Rfam family "Bacterial small subunit ribosomal RNA", at positions 29 to 507 of the family's 1533-position model. The record is from RNAcentral.